This 468-nucleotide ribosomal RNA is filed under the name uncultured bacterium. Its description in RNAcentral is "partial 16S ribosomal RNA". It matches the Rfam family "Bacterial small subunit ribosomal RNA", at positions 28 to 507 of the family's 1533-position model. The record is from RNAcentral.
GACGAACGCUGGCGGCGUGCUUAACACAUGCAAGUCGAACGGAAAGGCCCUGCUUUUGUGGGGUUCUCGAGUGGCGAACGGGUGAGUAACACGUGAGUAACCUGCCCUUGACUUUGGGAUAACUUCAGGAAACUGGGGCUAAUACCGGAUAUGAGCUCCUGCUCCAUGGUGGGGGUUUGAAAGUUUCGGCGGUUGGGGAUGGACUCGCGGCUUAUCAGCUUGUUGGUGGGGUAGUGGCUUACCAAGGCUUUGACGGGUAGCCGGCCUGAGAGGGUGACCGGCCACAUUGGGACUGAGAUACGGCCCAGACUCCUACGGGAGGCAGCAGGGGGGAAUAUUGCACAAUGGGCGGAAGCCUGAUGCAGCAACGCCGCGUGCGGGAUGACGGCCUUCGGGUUGUAAACAGCUUUCGAAUGUGACGAAGAGUGAGUGACGGUAAUGGGUAAAGAAGCACCGGCUAACUACGUG